CACUACUGCCUGCUUGUUACUGUCCAGUUUGUGCCAGUCCUCACCAGUCACUGAGGCUGCCAUCAGUUGCAGCUGUGUGAGACAGUUUAAAUUACCAUCUGGUUUCUACAGGUCUAGACGGAAUCAUCCAUGAAGUUGCAGUUCUUCACAGUAAAUUUUUUCCUAUGUAUUUCAUUUAUAUUGAACUACUUGAAAUAUCUUCUCUUUUAACCUUAAGUAGUUUAAGAUUAGGUGAUGAUGGUGUCCUGUGAAAAGCCACUUGGGUCAGGUUGCUUUGUGUCAGUGCAAACAGACAGUUUUUGCACUUGUAUUUAGCAGUGUGGAAAAGAACAGCUGUGUAGCCAUGGGAUUUACCUACAUGCUGCUAAAAGACCAUCUAGAUGCUCUGACAUCAGAAUGUUUUUCUGAACAUCUGUCUGUCACAAAGGCAGAUAUUAAAAUAAGUGUAGAUAUUAUGUCCAAGUAGAGCUAUGUGAUUAUAUUAAUUCAAGGUUCUUUGGCUUUCAACAUCACAUUUCCCAUUAUAUAAAAAUUGAGCCCUGUGUCCAUACAUGCUUCUUACACUGUCUUCCUUGUGUUUCCUCAGAGAAUGAUUCUUCAUGCCUACAGAGCAUGCAUGCUGCUUUUAGAAAUACUGGUCAAACACAGCUAUAACUUUCCUCACUGCGUCAGAGUGUUUUCCCCAACCCAGUGCAGAUAAGAUGAACUUUACCAGUCUCCAUCACUGUUCUGUCGCAAGAAGUUUCCCAAUUACAUCCAGAAAUUCUCUAGCCUUCAGAUCCCUUCUCCAGAGCUCCCUUCCCUCAUCCCUUGUUUCAUCCACGCUGCCCUAAAUGUGACCACACCACCUAACUUGGAGUCUGAAAUGUAAGAAGUUGCAAAAACAGGCUCUUCCCAGCAGGUGCUGUGGCUGGGUUGUCUUUUCUUCUAGGAACGGGAUUGACCAGCUCCCUGCAGAAGUAGAGGUUCAGUCUUUGAUCGUAUGCUGCCCUUGACUACAGAAUUUAGAAGAACCAAAAACUGUAUGCUCCUAGAGAUGUCCUUCAGUCAUAAAAUGAAGGUCUGGACCAACUGCCUGUUCCGUGGCAUUCUUGGAAGACAAGGUUUUUCUUCACCAGUCCCUUUGUCCUCACGAAUCUCAGACAGAGCUGCCUGCUCGUCUGCUCACUGCAGAGGUGGGGAAGGCACCUCUGGUUGCACUGGCUUCAACCACGAGAUGGCACUGUUUGCGGGCAGGAUGUCACCUGUCCAAAUCCUUGCGGAGGUGAUGCCCCUCCUUCUUGAAGUGCAACGUUACAGUAGUAUUAUGUUUCUAAUUUGGUUCGUUAGAGAUCUUCAGUGUAUCUUCAUGACGCAGGAGCUGGCCUUAAAAUCAAGUGAGAGGUGCCAGGAUUUGUGCCUCAAAUGUCUCACUGGCAUUGUAGAGUUCAAGCUUUGUGGAUCUUACAAUUAUGCAGUCGUACAAUGGGUUGGAUUGGAAUGGACCUGAAAGACCAUCGAGUUCCAUUCCCUGUGCUGUGGGUAGUGUAGCCACCCACCAGAUCAGGCAGCCCAGGGCUCCAUCCAACCUGGCCUUGAACGCCUCUAGGAAAUGGGUAUCUACAGCUUCUCUAGGCAGCCUGUGCCAGUGUUUCAUCACCCUCUCAGUGAAAACUUCCUUGGCCUUGUUGAACCUUAUGUUAAUGUGGGCCCAUUUCUCAAGCCUGUCCAGGUCCCUCUGGAUGUCAUCCUUUCCUUCUGUGUUAUCAACAGCGCCACACAGUUUGGUGUUAUCUGCAAACUUGCUGAAAGUGCACUCAAUCCCACUGUGUCAUUGAUAAAGAUAUAAAAGAGCACAAGUCAUGCACAAGUACCUUGUUUUUUUACGUGAUAUGUUUCUAUUAUCCAGUGCUUUGUUUUGUUUAGUGCAUCAAAGCCCCUGUAUUCAAGCUUUUAAACAGAUGAAAAAUAGAGAGAAAAUAUUACUCCAAAGGGUUCCAUGUGUUUUGUUUUGUUUUUCUUUAAGGUUUCAUUGAGUUUUGAAGGCUUUAGUAGCAUUGAUAUCAAGUAGAAAUCAGCAUGAAAUCCUGCAUGAAGAUUUCAGAGUGCUGUUUGCAUACUAGUCUACCACAUUCUUUGCAUCUUGUAUAGACAAAAGUAAUCAACCACACAGCCACUGUAAGCCCUCUGUGGUGCGUUUCUGCUCUGCCCCUUCUUUGGGCCUUCUACUGUAAAAAGUCUCCCCCUGUCCAGUUCUUAUAAUUAGCUUUGAAUGAACAAGGCAGUUCCUGAGUCUUUAAUGCUCAUGAUGUUCCAUCACUGAAUAACAUUGAAGCUGGUCUUGCACUGAGUCAAUUCAAGCAGAAAUGACCAAAUAAUUUGUUAUAUUUGAUGAAAAAUAGUGAAAUAAUGCAGAAGAAAGUUAGGCUCCCUUAUUCAGAUGAUUGAUGCUAGCAAAAAAAAACCUCAAAAAACAGCAACCACAACAGUGUGCUAAGUAGAAAAUAGAUCUCAUUUACCAAACUAUGUGUGAACAGUCUAAUUGCAUCUGAGGCUUUUGAUGAGAUCAUUUCAUGUAACUGGCCCAUGAAACGUGGUAUUUAUUAUUAAUGUAAUUUGGAUAUUAUUAUAUCUCAGAGGUAUAAAGAUGCAGUAGAUGUCUAGAGGCCACAGUACUGCAUUGCCAUCUUUGGAAGGUAAGAUGAAGGGAAAUACUUUGCUCUGUUCAUUCUGCUAUUUAUCAAUUAUGAGACUUCCCUGCCUUCAGUCCUUUUCUGUUUCAAGACAAAACACGGGCAGUGAUUGGGUGAAGGCUGAGCUGGAUAUGCCAUAGCAUGUCCACCCCAAGCCCUCCUUGGGACAGUGGGCAUCAUCCACUUGCCUGAAUCACACACGAAUGCUGCCCUCCUUGUCUGUUGGCACUGACAGCAGGCUGUCCUGCCCCAAGGUGGCUUGGAUUUGGGUGACCACUGAGCACUGUCACAGCAGCUGGGAAACUUAGUGUGCACAUCUGAAUGAUCUUGAUUGAGCAGUUGAUACCAGGCCAUUUUCAAAAAUGUCUUAUCAUCCUGCGUUAAUGGGUUGGCAUCCAGAUCAACCUGUGGCUGGUUCCUUGCUUCUGCCUGAAAGAGGAGAAGGAUAUAAAAUGAGCAGGAGAAUGCCUAUGGUUGAUGCUGAAAGGUGUCCUGAGUCCUUUGCAUGACAGCCAGAAGAGGACAGUAGCAAAUUUCAUCAUAUUACAUGGACACAAACCAAGAUUCUUCUUGGUUCCAGGCACAGGAAAGCUCAAACAAAAAACAGCAUCUGGAGUGUGUUCUUCUACUUCUUUUUCCAUUCUCUCUGUGACUUCCCAGCUGUAAAAAUGAGAAAGACAAUUUUAAUAUUGAACCUACAUUUCUGUUCUAAAUUUUGUAUUAGAAUCACACAAGCCUGUGUCACCUAUAACUUUAAUAAUAUUCAAGAAGUCCAUAUAGCAUUUAGUGUUUUGUAGAAAAGCCAUUUAUUUCUUUAUUCUCUAUGCUAGGUUUCUGAUUACUUUCUACUUUAUUCUUCAUUUGUGACUUUUAAUUUUAAAAGAUACCAUUUAGGUUUAACUAAACCAAUUUUCAGUACUGCAAUAUCACAUCUUCUACUCUUCAUUUUGAAAUGAAUUUGAGAGCGUGAUAAAAGCAUAUGAAGAACAGGUCACAUAGAUCAAGCUGGGCUGAGCAGCACCGAAAAUGAUUCUUUCAAUAAAAAUUCAUCCUUAAUUUAGUUCUGGAAUGCA
RNAcentral lists this long non-coding RNA (3745 nucleotides) under Phasianus colchicus (ring-necked pheasant). RNAcentral describes it as "lncRNA (ENSPCLG00000018486.1)". Lineage: Eukaryota; Metazoa; Chordata; Aves; Galliformes; Phasianidae. The record is from RNAcentral.